This 6413-nucleotide unclassified non-coding RNA is filed under the name Cimex lectularius (bed bug). RNAcentral's name for it is "nuclear pore complex protein Nup153, transcript variant X1". Lineage: Eukaryota; Metazoa; Arthropoda; Insecta; Hemiptera; Cimicidae. The record is from RNAcentral.
CAUUUCUUAUUAAACGGGUGAAAGUCAAGUUGGUUAGCUCUCAUACGUUCAGAAUGAGGUGAUAAAUUGUUUUAAUUCGUUUAAAAUCCCCAGGUUUAGAUUUAUAAUGGCCAAUGGAAGCAACAAUGGUAAAACGAGGAAAUCGCACAGUUAUAAACCCUACGACACGUCGAACUCAUCAUUUGUAAGACGGAUCACGACGCGAGUGACUGAGAUUCUCCCACAGCCUUCGACGUGGAUCAGCCGCUGGCUUUCUCCAGCUACAAAGCCAGACUUGAGGAAUGACAGCGACGAAGAAGAUGAAGAUGAAGACCAGAGGCAACCGGCGAAAAAACGACCGUGUUUAAAUACAUCUGUAGAUUUCCCACAAAAUCAUAUCUAUAGGAUUGGAUUAGGCGGUGAAGCAGGUGAUAUUAGCCCUAUACUAAGUAACAGGAUAGAUAAUGAUAAAGCGAUACCUGGGCCCAGUGGGCUUCAUUUGUCAAAGAAAACAAACUUUGUCUUUUCUACACCAGCUCCAGCACAAACACAGCAUGAUGUCAUUCCUAAAAUCAAUGGUGAUGAGGGAAGUGAUGGUGAAUCUACAAGUGGCUGUUCAUCUGUAGGCCCACAAGGGGAAAAAGCACCAUCCUCCACUUAUGCAAAAAUUGUGCCCAAGAGUAGACCACCACUCCAUUCAACAGCCACAAAUGUUCCCACUCCAUCCUCUUCACCAUCCCCAAGCCUAGCGUCAAAUUUACAAAGGUCUCCUGUUACGUCAAGACCCACGACAUUUUCUAAAUUGGACUUUAAUGUUUCAAAAAGGCCAAGUUUUGAUUCAUUUGUUUUUAAUAACCCUCUAAACAAGAGUUUGACAUUAAAUUCAAGUCGAAAUUCUUCUCUAAAUGAUUCAUCUGCAUCACCGUUUUACAAAGGAAGAACAAUGUAUGGAGGGUCGUCGAGUUGUAGGGAAGCUUUAAACUCCAAACUACUCUCACCCAGAGUGAGUGGUCCCAAGGUCGUCAGUGUGAAACCCUCUGCAACUCCAGAAGCUUCUAAAGAAAGGAUCGGCGCAUCUGCUAUGAGGAUCCUCAAAGCUCUAGAGCAGUUUUCAACUCCAAUGCCAGAUCCUAGAAAAACUGUUGGGAAGAGUGAAGGUGAAAAAAGAAAAAGGAAAUCACUUCCUCCUUAUGAAGAACUAAUACUACCUCAGAUGCCUGAUCUUUUGAGGAUAAAGAGGAAAGAGAGACCUGCACCGCCAAAACCACCCCAGGCAACAAUUGACAGUGUUGAUUCAACUUAUACCACGAACAAAGAUUUAACUUCAUCAGAUAGAUUGAGAAUUCCCAAUCCUGAGGAAAGGAAUUUUAUCGGGUGUAUCAGAGGAAGGAAGAUGGAAAACUUGGAGUUGGAGAGGGCAAAGCCAAUCAACCUGCCCAAUGUGAAAUUACCUAUUACAACCUUGCCAAACUUUACAUUUCAGAGUCUUCCAAAAGCUGACAACCCAUCAGAAAAAAGGCCUCAAACUGUGUUUCCUAAUUUAACAGAAGUUCCUUUAAGUAAAUCAUCAUCAAGUAAAUACAAAUUUUCCAAACCUAUUAUCGAAAGUUCUGAUGGCCAUUCGGUAAUAAGCAUAAAGCCUACUAUAAAAUUCAGUGAACCAUUGAAUGCAGAUGCUAAUGAGAAAAUUUCAAACAAAACUAACAUUUCCAGCAAUGUUACAAUUUCAUCAUCCAGUACAUCCAAAGAUUCUAUUGGCCUAUUGCCUAGUAUGAAAACUCCUAGUCCGACUAAGAAAAGUAAAGAAGUGAUGUUUGAUUAUAAACCUAUGGCUAAACUAAAAGAGAAGAAAGUGAAAGAAACAGAAGUUUCUGUGGAAGUCAAGCCUUCUGCUGAAUUUAAAAAUGGAAGUGUUAUGGAUUUUUUCAAAAGUAAUACUAGUACCAGUUUCGGAGAUAAAUUCAAAGCCCCCAAAGGAAGUUGGGCAUGUGAUACAUGUCUUGUAAAUAAUAGUGCCGAUAAGUCAAAAUGUGCCGCCUGCGAAACCCCAAAACCUUGUAAAAAAGAACAAAUCAUUAGUAGUAGUACUUCAAGUGAUAAUAAAUGGGAGUGCAAAAAUUGUAAAUUAGAAAAUAGUGAGACUGAAGAAAAGUGUAAAUCGUGUGGUGCUGAGAAAAAUGGUUACAUCAAAACACCUUUGGCUAAAGGAUUACAAGCAUUCAUAAAAGACAAGGACACUUGGGAGUGUAAAGAAUGUUUUGUAAAGAACAAAAUGACAGAUAACAGUUGUGUAGCUUGUACUUCAUCAAAACCAGGAUCUUCCAAUGUCUCAGAAAGCUCAGCGACAGUAACAACAACGGUUUCAUCUUCGGCUCCAAGCCUGAGCUCAAUGUUCAAAAAGCCUGAAGGCAACUGGGAAUGUGACGUCUGUUUAGUAUCUAACAAAGCCGGUGUUGACGCCUGUGUCUCAUGUAGCACACCUAAACCUGGUGCAAAACCUGCUGAGUCAAAGCCAGCUGCCACAUUUCAGUUCGGCAUUCCUCCAGCAACUACUGCAGGAGCUGGAAGUACGUCCAGCAGUGCAUUUUCUUUAGGAAACACUUCGACUAUAGAAACAUCAAAGCCUGCAACCUCUGGUUUCACUUUUGGGAUUCCAUGUACUGAAAACUCUAAGAAAAUUGAAUUUAAAUUUGGAAUUCCUCCGCCGGUUAAUAAAGAUAAAGAAGAGUCUUCUACUUCAAAAGAGGUAAAAGAGGAGACAUCGAAGGAAACACCGCCAAUUGAAAAAGAGAAACCACAAAUAUCUUUGUCCAGUACAUCAAGCACGCCUACUUCUAAUCUCUUUUCAUUUGGAAGUAAUUCGACAACUGAUGCAAAGAAAGAUCCUUCAGAAGUAACUGAAGAGGGAGCUAAGCUGAAAAAACGAGUCAGGUUCGGGGAUCCUCUCGUAGAGCAAAAAACAAUAAGCAGUGAUACCGAUAAAUCGCCAUUUUCAUUUGGAAAAGUUUCUACUAAAAACGAUAAAAAGGGUAAUGUCUUUGGGUUUUCCCAACAGCCACCGAUGUUUGGAAACACUUCAAUUAAAACCAGUUUGAAUUCGUCAGAAGUGCCUAAUACAAACUCUUUGUUUAAAUUCAGUAGCGAUACAUCUUCAGUCAGUUCAACGACAGAAACGACUAACACACCUCCAAACGCUACAAACUCUGAAGCCGGCACAACCAACACUAAUAUUUUUGGAGCUGUUUUAAAUAAUGCUACAACAAAUGAAACUAGCAACAAAAAUCCUCCUUCCUUCAGCUCUGAUAAUAAAAAUCUUUUUGGAGGGUCAUCGUUGUCAUCUGCUAGCGAGGUGAAAAAACCUUUGUUUACAGAUGGGUUUGGAUCUAUGUCAAAUAAAAAUAUAUUCCCUUCUUCUGACAAUAUGACAAAAGAUAACAAAUUAAUCUUUGGAUCGAAUGCAAAACCGAUAUUCGGUGCCUCAAACGAAACAGGCGCAAAUGCAAUUUUCUGCUCAAAACAAGAAGAAAAAACCCCGUUGAUAUUUGGAAAUACAGUUGAAACUCCCAGUACAAUGUUUGGUGCGGAUGAUUCAAAAAAAGAUGACAAAAAUACGAUAGCUUUCGGCUCAAAAAGCUUAGAGUCUAUCUUUGGCAAGGCUUCAGUUCCUGAAGAAAAGAAGUUAGAACAGCAAAGCAUGUUCACUUCUAAACCAGGAAAUUCUUUGUCCACCCAAGCUCAAGAGAAUAAUUUAUUCACUUCUAAAAUCAAAGCUUUUCCCCAGGCGACACAACAAGAGGAAAACAAAAAUACUUUUAUGAGAUUUAACACAGGAACAAAUUUCUUCAACAAUAACAACAUGUUUGCCAGCAAAAUUGAAGGGACUGCAUUUGAUGUAAAACCUGCAACCACGUCAUCAGUGCCCAGCUUUGGUAAUCCGAUACAGACUGUCGGUAACAGUACAGAAAACAAACCCACUUUCUCUUUCAACUCUAUGUCAAACCAGCCAAGUUCUACUGGUUUCGGAAUGUUCAACAAAGAGCCAGAAAACAAGCCUUUAACUGGUGGAUUUAGUUUCAACAUGGCGGCAAAACAACAACCACAACAGCAGCCGCCUCAGUCGACAAACAACUUUGGAUUUGGAUCGUCUUCUUUCGAACCCACACCGGUUUUCAAUAAUCAAAAUCCACCACAGACUUCUAAUGCAGUUUUCACAUUUGGCUCAUCACACCAAGAGCCUCAGCAGCCAAUGUUUGCAUUUCAGCAAGGACAGCAGGCAAAUACAAUGGCAUCGCCAUUUGCAUUCGGCUCGCAGAAUUCGGUUGCUAGCCAGCCCCAGCAACAACCCGUACAACCUCCUAUGUUCGAUCCCAACAUAAAACCCAAUUUCAACUUUAGUGGUGGUUCAACGCCUACGUUUUCCGCUCCUACAGCCAACCCCGAUGAAUUAGAUCGAAGGAAAAUAAGGAAAGCUUUUAGAAGGACUAGGUAAGGUGAAGUGAUAAGAAAUGAAACUAGACAAAACACUCGCUCAUAGACCCGUGAGCACCCUUCAGACUGACGAAAAAUUAUUACCUCAUUUUGUCACAAAAGCUUCUUCGUUGUUUUUCAAAAUCGUUCUAUAAAUUUUAUUUUUCUUAACAAAACAUUUUUUAUUUGUAAUUAUAUUUAUUGAUUUUGUUAUUGUGAAGAAGAUUUUGUGUGCGGGUCUUGUUUAUCGCUAAGCACAAAUGUGUGCGUUAUAAAGAUAAACAAAUACUUUCUUACAAGUGAGAAGGGGCCGAAUAAAAAAUUAAAUUUUCAAAAUUAUUAGUACUUUCAGAUGAAGGUUCGAUACUGGUUUUAAAGUUGUAAAUUUCUUUUCACAAUGAUAAAAACCUGUAUGAUAUAAAUAUUGUGUACAUUACAUUUAAAAAAUAUAUAAAUAUUUAAUUAUAUACACAUUGUCAGCUUAUAAUUAAUUUCAAUGUUACUUAAUUUAUAUUAAGGUUGCAUUGUAUAUAGUCUAAAAUAAUAAAUUGUAUAAAUUAGUGGCCCGUUCUAUAAUAACACUAUCUUAUAUUUGUAUUCUUCUUAACUUGGUAUCUCCAUCCACCAUUGUGAACAUUCUCCGAUAAUUUAAAUACAUACGUAUAUAUAAAAGUAUAUAAAGGUGUAAAGCAAAUUAGUUAAUAAAUAUAUAUAUGACUAUAUACGUAACUGUUACAAAUAAGAAUGGUAAAUACUUUUUUUUAAAUAACUAUUACUAUUAUUAAAGGGGAUGCGACGGGGAAAAUAUGGCCUUAAUAAGUAGUGCCAUUCUGGAGAGAAUAUUCACAAUGAUAUCGAGAAAAAUAAUGUUACUAUUUAUAGGCUGUAUCUAUCAGAUUCUGCUAUUUGGGAUUAUGUUAUAAUGCUGUAGUUUGUUCAAUUAGGUUGUAGAAGCAUACAGAAAGUAUAUGGCCUGGCCCAUGGAAUUCAUGUGUGCAUAUUUUAUAAUUUAGAGGAAAAAAAUUCAAAAAAAAAUUUUUUUGAAUUUUUAAAUAUUUAAUAUUUUUGUAUACAUGUUGAAUUGAUGAGUUUUUUUAAAUGGAGAAGAUGCAUAGAUAAAAUGCAAAACAAGCCCCUGUGAUAUUCGAGUGGGCCAGGCACCGAGGCAGGCUCACUCCUACUUUUUUGUAAAUAAACGAAUCGGUCAAGGAUUUGCUGUAAAUAAUCUGAGACUCGUGAAAAUAUGAAUUUUUUUAAUAUGAAAAAGGAGUUAGACUGCUUAGUGUGUGUAAAUAUAGACUUAACGUUAGAUAAGAGAUUUAGGACUCCUAUUUGUGAAUGUUUGUGCGUGAACGUAUGUUUAAACUCUGGUUCAGUUUAAUUUAAAAAUUCGCCGUGUUCGAAAGGUUUAAACUGGAAUGCAAAAGAAGACAGACAUUUUUAUAUGAAAUAAAAUCAACACGAUGCAGAAUCAUCUAGUCACAACUAGGAAAACAUGAGACAACUAUUGUGCCCAGCACCGCAUUUAGUUUAUCCUCAAAAUGUUAAACAAUUUUUUCCUUAUUAUUUUUUUGUAAUUGUGCUCCUAAUCUUAUCAAAAGUGAAAGGCAUUCAUUUAACUCGAUUAUAUAAUCCAUUUGAUAAAAUAGAAAGACUGUUUACAAGUUAUAUUCAUGUAUAAUUUUAAUUAUUGAAAAAUUUUGUUUGAUACUGUACAAUACUGAAUCGGGGGAGAAAACGAAACAGGCCCGCAAGAUGAUUUGUGGCAUCUUUGUGAACAGCGGUGAAGCCCACAGAGGAGGAGCUUAGAGCACGUGUCCCCGCAAGUGCUGACUUCUUUCGUACACGGGAGAACUGUCACUUCUUUUCCACACGGGCAGGAUCUAGGAAGAGAAAGAGGGCAUGGCCCGCAUUCACCUUUGUGGCAGAUGACUUCACACGUGUGCUCCCCACAGUCCAACAGUUUU